RNAcentral lists this ribosomal RNA (763 nucleotides) under uncultured Streptococcus sp. Its description in RNAcentral is "bacterial SSU rRNA". It matches the Rfam family "Bacterial small subunit ribosomal RNA", at positions 28 to 776 of the family's 1533-position model. The record is from RNAcentral. Lineage: Bacteria; Bacillati; Bacillota; Bacilli; Lactobacillales; Streptococcaceae.
GACGAACGCUGGCGGCGUGCCUAAUACAUGCAAGUAGAACGCUGAAGGAGGAGCUUGCUUCUCCGGAUGAGUUGCGAACGGGUGAGUAACGCGUAGGUAACCUGCCUGGUAGCGGGGGAUAACUAUUGGAAACGAUAGCUAAUACCGCAUAAGAGUAGAUGUUGCAUGACAUUUGCUUAAAAGGUGCAAUUGCAUCACUACCAGAUGGACCUGCGUUGUAUUAGCUAGUUGGUGGGGUAACGGCUCACCAAGGCGACGAUACAUAGCCGACCUGAGAGGGUGAUCGGCCACACUGGGACUGAGACACGGCCCAGACUCCUACGGGAGGCAGCGGUAGGGAAUCUUCGGCAAUGGACGGAAGCCUGACCGAGCAACGCCGCGUGAGUGAAGAAGGUUUUCGGAUCGUAAAGCUCUGUUGUAAGAGAAGAACGAGUGUGAGAGUGGAAAGUUCACACUGUGACGGUAUCUUACCAGAAAGGGACGGCUAACUACGUGCCAGCAGCCGCGGUAAUACGUAGGUCCCGAGCGUUGUCCGGAUUUAUUGGGCGUAAAGCGAGCGCAGGCGGUUAGAUAAGUCUGAAGUUAAAGGCUGUGGCUUAACCAUAGUACGCUUUGGAAACUGUUUAACUUGAGUGCAAGAGGGGAGAGUGGAAUUCCAUGUGUAGCGGUGAAAUGCGUAGAUAUAUGGAGGAACACCGGUGGCGAAAGCGGCUCUCUGGCUUGUAACUGACGCUGAGGCUCGAAAGCGUGGGGAGCAAACAGG